GUCUUUUUGGUAUUUAAUAUAAAGUCUAGCCUGCCCACUGAAAAUAUUUUAAAGGGCCGCAGUAUUUUGACUGUGCAAAGGUAGCAUAAUCAUUAGUCUUUUAAUUGAAGGCUGGUAUGAAUGGUUGAAUAAGAUACAAGCUGUGUCAUAAAAAUUAAUAAUUGAAUUUAACUUUUUAGUCAAAAGGCUAAAAUUUAUUUAAAAGACGAGAAGACCCUAUAGAGCUUUAUAUAUUAAUUAUUUAGAUUAUUAAGAUUUUUAAAAUUUAAUUUUUGGGAUAUAUUUUGUUGGGGUGACAAUAAAAUUUAUAAAACUUUUAUUUUUAUUAAACAUUAAUUUAUGGUUAAAUGAUCCAGUUUUAUUGAUUAUAAAUUUAAGUUACCUUAGGGAUAACAGCGUAAUUUUUUUUGAGAGUUCUUAUCGACAAAAAAGAUUGCGACCUCGAUGUUGGAUUAAGAGUAAUUUUGGGUGCAGAAGUUCAAAGUUUAAGUCUGUUCGACUUUUAAAUUCUUACAU
Molecule: ribosomal RNA, 516 nt
Filed under: Simulium spinosibranchium
Lineage: Eukaryota; Metazoa; Arthropoda; Insecta; Diptera; Simuliidae
Description: partial 16S ribosomal RNA
Rfam family: Bacterial large subunit ribosomal RNA
Source: RNAcentral